Molecule: ribosomal RNA, 253 nt
Filed under: uncultured bacterium
Lineage: Bacteria
Description: partial 16S ribosomal RNA
Rfam family: Bacterial small subunit ribosomal RNA
Source: RNAcentral
UACGAAGGGUGCAAACGUUGCUCGGAAUUAUUGGGCGUAAAGCGCACGUAGGCGGCUUAGCAAGUCGGAUGUGAAAUCUCUCGGCUCAACCAAGGAAGUGCAUCCGAAACUGCUGAGCUUGAGUACUAAAGAGGGUCGCGGAAUUCCCGGUGUAGAGGUGAAAUUCGUAGAUAUCGGGAGGAACACCGGUGGCGAAGGCGGCGACCUGGGUAGAUACUGACGCUGAGGUGCGAAAGCGUGGGGAGCAAACAGG